RNAcentral lists this ribosomal RNA (777 nucleotides) under uncultured Neocallimastigales. RNAcentral's name for it is "partial large subunit ribosomal RNA". It matches the Rfam family "Eukaryotic large subunit ribosomal RNA", at positions 22 to 634 of the family's 3401-position model. Lineage: Eukaryota; Fungi; Neocallimastigomycota; Neocallimastigomycetes; Neocallimastigales. The record is from RNAcentral.
AUAUCAGUCAUGCAUAGCAUAUCAAUAAGCGGAGGAAAAGAAACUAACAAGGAUUCCCCUAGUAACUGCGAGUGAAGCGGGAAGAGCUCAAAUUUGAAAUCUUAAAAGGUUUUCCUUCUACGAAUUGUAGUUUAAAGAAGUGUUUUCUGUUGAAAUUUUAGUAAAAGUUCUUUGGAAUAGGACAUCAUAGAGGGUGAGAAUCCCGUAUUUGACUAGAAUUUUUCAACUUUGUGAUACACUUUCAAAGAGUCGGAUUGUUUGGGAAUGCAGUCCAAAAUGGGUGGUAAAUUUCAUCUAAAGCUAAAUAUUGGCGAGAGACCGAUAGCGAACAAGUACCGUGAGGGAAAGGAUGAAAAGAACUUUGAAAAGAGAGUUAAAUAGUACGUGAAAUUGUCAAAAGGGAAGCGUUUGGCACCAGUGUUGUUUUUCUAAAAAUCAAUUUAAAAUUUGCUUAUGCUAAGUUUUUUAGACUUAAUCGGCUAAUAAUUUAGUUUUUUGUAAUUUUUGAAUGCACUUUUUAGUUAACAAGUCAACAUCAAUUUCUUUUGUUGUAAAAGAAUAAGAGGAAGGUGGCUUGGAAUUCGUUUCAAGUGUUUAUAGCCUUUUAUUUCUGCAAUAGGAGGGAUUGAGGUCUACAGCAUAGAUCCUUCGGGGCUAGAUGCAUUUUCGCUAAGAGUCAGUAUUAUAUAAACAACUUGUUGAUUAUGUAGUAUGUUGAUUUUUACUCGGGAGUGUUAUUUUACCUACGCUUAGGAUGUUGAUCUACAGAGCGAGAGU